This 492-nucleotide ribosomal RNA is filed under the name uncultured bacterium. Its description in RNAcentral is "partial 16S ribosomal RNA". It matches the Rfam family "Bacterial small subunit ribosomal RNA", at positions 29 to 507 of the family's 1533-position model. The record is from RNAcentral.
AGUGAACGCUGGCGGUAGGCCUAACACAUGCAAGUCGAACGGCAGCACAGUAAGAGCUUGCUCUUACGGGUGGCGAGUGGCGGACGGGUGAGGAAUACAUCGGAAUCUACUUUUUCGUGGGGGAUAACGUAGGGAAACUUACGCUAAUACCGCAUACGACCUACGGGUGAAAGCAGGGGAUCUUCGGACCUUGCGCGAUUGAAUGAGCCGAUGUCGGAUUAGCGAGUUGGCGGGGUAAAGGCCCACCGAGGCGACGAUCCGUAGCUGGUCUGAGAGGAUGAAGAGCCACAGUGGAACUGAGACACGGUCCAGACUCCUACGGGAGGCAGCAGUGGGGAAUAUUGGACAAUGGGCGCAAGCCUGAUCCAGCCAUGCCGCGUGGGUGAAGAAGGCCUUCGGGUUGUAAAGCCCUUUUGGUGGGAAAGAAAAGCAGCAGGUUAAUACCCCGCUGUUCUGACGGUACCCAAAGAAUAAGCACCGGCUAACUUCGUG